This 605-nucleotide ribosomal RNA is filed under the name Salmonella enterica. Its description in RNAcentral is "partial 23S ribosomal RNA". The record is from RNAcentral. Lineage: Bacteria; Pseudomonadati; Pseudomonadota; Gammaproteobacteria; Enterobacterales; Enterobacteriaceae.
AUAGGGGAGCCGGAGGGAAACCGAGUCUUAAYUGGGCGUUAAGUUGCAGGGUAUAGACCCGAAACCCGGUGAUCUAGCCAUGGGCAGGUUGAAGGUUGGGUAACACUAACUGGAGGACCGAACCGACUAAUGUUGAAAAAUUAGCGGAUGACCUGUGGCUGGGGGUGAAAGGCCAAUCAAACCGGGAGAUAGCUGGUUCUCCCCGAAAGCUAUUUAGGUAGCGCCUCGUGAAUUCAUCUCCGGGGGUAGAGCACUGUUUCGGCUAGGGGGCCAUCCCGGCUUACCAACCCGAUGCAAACUGCGAAUACCGGAGAAUGUUAUCACGGGAGACACACGGCGGGUGCUAACGUCCGUCGUGAAGAGGGAAACAACCCAGACCGCCAGCUAAGGUCCCAAAGUCAUGGUUAAGUGGGAAACGAUGUGGGAAGGCCCAGACAGCCAGGAUGUUGGCUUAGAAGCAGCCAUCAUUUAAAGAAAGCGUAAUAGCUCACUGGUCGAGUCGGCCUGCGCGGAAGAUGUAACGGGGCUAAACCAUGCACCGAAGCUGCGGCAGCGACGCUGAUGCGUUGUUGGGUAGGGGAGCGUUCUGUAAGCCUGCGAAGGUG